CCUUUUUGCCGGGGCAUGCCUCUCAUUAGUUUACACCAGAUCCCUUCCGUCCCGUGCCCAAGUCCCGCAGCACUAUCGCGCCCAAGAGGAUUCAAAAGGGAGCGGCGGCGGCGAGAGGCCCGGCGCCGACCGCAACCCUAGCCCGAAUCAGCACCCGCCGCCCCGGAGGGUGCCGCUGCGGCGGCCGAGGCCGACGACGAGGUGCGGCGCCUGUUCACGGCCCUCAGCCAGGUCCACGCCGACCUCGCCCUGGCGGUCUGCCGCAGGCGGAGCGGCGGUCCAUUGUUGACGAGGCGCGCUGGCGGCCCGUGCGGUCCCGAUCCCAGGUGCUGGUCCACCGGCGUGGAUGAGGAGCCCAGGAGCAGGCAAGUUGGCUAGAUCUCGCAGCCCCGGCCGUCCCGUCCACGUCCUAGGGUUCCGAGAUAUGGAUAUUUAAAGGAAUUGAUCUUGCUGAAAUUAAGAAAGAAUUUCAAAAUAUACCAAGAAGAAUGCCUUUGCCACAGUCAAUAAAGCUUUAUUAUAGGACUCUAUGCUGUUGGUUGGUCUGUGCUAUUCUUCUUUUAUCGUCUAUAGGGUAAAAUAUAAAACAGAAUCUGUCACCUGAAGGCAUUUUGUCGAAGCCUUGCUCAGAGGUUGGGUGAGUUGAUUUAUCUGAUCUGUAUACUGAUGGAUGCCAAUAAAUAAGCUUGAUCUAUGAAUAGUUUAGUCGCCAGUAGAUGAGCUGAUGAACCAAUAGCAUGUAGUAAUGGUAGGUAUGAUUUUGUUCUAAGUUGUGGUUACAUAAUGACAUAUCUAGGAUGGACCUUUAGCUACUGAGGCCUGAAUAUAGAAAGUUGAUAAAAAGAAUCUCAUUUUAUUUGGAUUUUUUUAAACUGCAGCCCAUAAGUAGCACUAUUAAUUGCUCUGUUAUCAUUUGCUAGAAUUUCUUGCUUUUGAAAGGAAUUUAGAAGGAUCUUAAGAAUAGUACAUUCAGUUAUUUCAUAUUUGUCUUGAUGUUCCUUACCAAAGCAGCAACCUUAUAUUGCUAUUUCAUGCCGUGCUCUUCUUAAUUUCUUAUCAAUGAGAAGACAGCUCAAAAGAAUGUCUCUUGUGAGUUAUUACAUGAACCUCUAUGAAACAGCAAGCUUUCAGUAUCCUAGGAUUUUGCUACCAAUCAUUGUUUUUUUGGGUGACAAACCAAUCAUUGAGUCUUACUUAAAUGCUUGCAUGAUAUUAUUCGUUCACCAUAUUGCACUUGGUGAGACCAUUUAUCAUGAAUCUAUAUUUUUCCAUCUUCAGAGCGCGCCUUCAUUUGUUAAAAAAAGUCAGUAUGGGUAAAUAUUAGUUUCACUUUGCAUAGUAGUAUAACCAGGUCUGUUGAACUCUACAUUUUCUGCAUGUUAUCAUGUUUUUGUUUGAAAGCAAGCUAAUUGGACAGCGGUGUUUAUUUGCAUGAAUGCCUUGCCAUUUUGCUGGAAGUUACUUGAUGCAUGAGGUGCUCUUUAUAAUUUGUAUGUGAGAGAGGAUUAGUUUGUCAAGCUUUCUAUUGAUAAAACCAUUUCAUUAGUUUUUUUUGGGGGGGGGGGGGGGUUACAGUCAGUCUAUAUUGGAUGAAAGACAUAGUUCGUGUGAAUCAUGACUUUCCCUGCAUUUACCUAAUUUCGCUCAAAAAAAGUUCCAGUUAGCUAUAAGGAUUCUUUAGAAAAAAUUCUCAGGGACUAUUGAAUCAGGGGCGAAGACUCAAAUGUGUAGUGAUUCUUUAGACAAAAGCCGAAAAGGGUCUGAUUAUUGUGUCUGUUCAGUGUCCACCAUCCACAAAUGGCUCUAUUUAAAUUGGAGUAUGUAGUUCAUUUUAGCCGAUGAACUUGCUGGAUCACCUCCAUUGCAGGAGUUUAGCUGAUAUGUAUUGUAUGCAGAUGAUUAUGAGCAAGAUGCAAGGACACAAAAAGCCUGGGAUGCAGAAAGGUUAGAGGCGAGCUGCCGCUAGCGCACGGUGGCGUGCUGCAUCUCCCGUCGGUGCUUGCCACAGGAGAACUACAUCCCUGGCCUAUUCUUCUAUGCCUCAGCUGCUGCCUCUCCAAGCAAUGCCAAACCUAUAGGCUAUAACAGGUUCAGGAGGUGUUUAUCCAAUGAUUCAGUAACUUAACAUUCUAAUUUACUUGUCUUUUGCUCAUGAGGCAUGGUGUCUUUAGGUUAUUGAAGGGGAUUGUGUAUGGAUGCCGACAUUCAGACUGGUCAGCUAAGAGACCAGGACACACAAAUCUGGAGAGGUCCUUGGUCAUCAGCUGGUCCAUCAUGGGGUAUGUAACUUCACUGAGAUCAUGCAUGCUCCUUAUAAGCUGGGGAUAUAAGUUCUUAGGAUUAACUGUAUCAUCUAGCCGCGAGACGCCGCUUUUACUAUUAGAAUAACUUAAAAUCUUCUCUUCAAAUAAUGCAAUGCAAGGAUGAUUUUGACAUAUAGAUGUUGAUGUCCCAAGCUGAAUUUCAAGAUACUCAUGGCAGCAAUUUCCCACAAAAGUGGUGUGGGUUAAUUCGCUAUACUGUUAGAAUUACGCGAGGUAGGCGUGUAUCAUUGGGGUGGUACUGAGUCAACUAAGAGUCAGAAGCGCUAAUAUGUGUGCAUUACCUACUGUUGUAUAUUUUUCAAUCAUGCACUAUGUUCUCUUAAUGAUUAAUUGUGGAUGAAAUGGAUGAGGGCAAUAAUGCUCAUGUGCUUAUCCUGAAUGGAUGAACAGAACUCUAGAAACUUGAAUGGAAAGAACCUUUAAAGCAGGGGAUUACUGAGAAA
Triticum aestivum (bread wheat) is the source of this 2767-nucleotide long non-coding RNA. RefSeq lists it as uncharacterized. The record is from RefSeq and is a predicted model, not a curated record. The transcript has 5 exons. Lineage: Eukaryota; Viridiplantae; Streptophyta; Magnoliopsida; Poales; Poaceae.